AUUGAACGCUGGCGGCAUGCUUUACACAUGCAAGUCGAACGGCAGCGGGGUAGUGCUUGCACUACUGUCCGGCGAGUGGCGAACGGGUGAGUAAUAUAUCGGAACGUACCGAGUAAUGGGGGAUAACCAAUCGAAAGAUUGGCUAAUACCGCAUACGUCCUAAGGGAGAAAGCGGGGGAUCGCAAGACCUCGCGUUAUUCGAGCGGCCGAUAACUGAUUAGCUAGUUGGUGGGGUAAAGGCCUACCAAGGCGACGAUCAGUAGCGGGUCUGAGAGGACGAUCCGCCACACUGGGACUGAGACACGGCCCAGACUCCUACGGGAGGCAGCAGUGGGGAAUUUUGGACAAUGGGGGCAACCCUGAUCCAGCCAUGCCGCGUGUAUGAAGAAGGCCUUCGGGUUGUAAAGUACUUUUGUUAGGGAAGAAAAGGGAAGUGCUAAUACCACUUUUUGCUGACGGUACCUAAAGAAUAAGCACCGGCUAACUACGUGCCAGCAGCCGCGGUAAUACGUAGGGUGCGAGCGUUAAUCGGAAUUACUGGGCGUAAAGCGAGCGCAGACGGUUAUUUAAGCAGGAUGUGAAAUCCCCGGGCUCAACCUGGGAACUGCGUUCUGAACUGGAUAGCUAGAGUGUGUCAGAGGGGGGUAGAAUUCCACGUGUAGCAGUGAAAUGCAUAGAGAUGUGGAGGAAUACCGAUGGCGAAGGCAGCCCCCUGGGAUAACACUGACGUUCAUGCUCGAAAGCGUGGGUAGCAAACAGG
Molecule: ribosomal RNA, 760 nt
Filed under: uncultured Eikenella sp.
Lineage: Bacteria; Pseudomonadati; Pseudomonadota; Betaproteobacteria; Neisseriales; Neisseriaceae
Description: bacterial SSU rRNA
Rfam family: Bacterial small subunit ribosomal RNA
Source: RNAcentral